This 233-nucleotide ribosomal RNA is filed under the name Cryptocaryon irritans. RNAcentral's name for it is "partial 18S ribosomal RNA". It matches the Rfam family "Eukaryotic small subunit ribosomal RNA", at positions 1587 to 1830 of the family's 1831-position model. The record is from RNAcentral. Lineage: Eukaryota; Ciliophora.
UGAUGUUCCCCUUGAACGAGGAAUUCCUAGUAAGUGCAAGUCAUCAGCUUGUACUGAUUACGUCCCUGCCCUUUGUACACACCGCCCGUCGCUCCUACCGAUUUCGAGUGAUCCGGUGAACCUUCUGGACUGCGCUAACACUAGUUAGUGCGGGAAGUUAAGUAAACCACUUCACUUAGAGGAAGGAGAAGUCGUAACAAGGUUUCCGUAGGUGAACCUGCGGAAGGAUCAUU